CAAACGGCUCUUUUUAGAGCCACCAAUAAUCCAAGAAAGAAUCAAU
Strongylocentrotus purpuratus (purple sea urchin) is the source of this 46-nucleotide non-coding RNA. NCBI's taxonomy places the organism in Eukaryota, Metazoa, Echinodermata, Echinoidea, Camarodonta, Strongylocentrotidae. The record is from Rfam.